This 506-nucleotide ribosomal RNA is filed under the name uncultured bacterium. RNAcentral describes it as "partial 16S ribosomal RNA". It matches the Rfam family "Bacterial small subunit ribosomal RNA", at positions 29 to 523 of the family's 1533-position model. The record is from RNAcentral.
AGUGAACGCUGGCGGUAUGCCUAACACAUGCAAGUCGAACGGCAGCACAGGAGAGCUUGCUCUCUGGGUGGCGAGUGGCGGACGGGUGAGGAAUACAUCGGAAUCUACUCUGUCGUGGGGGAUAACGUAGGGAAACUUACGCUAAUACCGCAUACGACCUACGGGUGAAAGCAGGGGACCUUCGGGCCUUGCGCGAUUGAAUGAGCCGAUGUCGGAUUAGCUAGUUGGCGGGGUAAAGGCCCACCAAGGCGACGAUCCGUGGCUGGUCUGAGGGGAUGAUCAGCCACACUGGAACUGAGACACGGUCCAGACUCCUACGGGAGGCAGCAGUGGGGAAUAUUGGACAAUGGGCGCAAGCCUGAUCCAGCCAUACCGCGUGGGUGAAGAAGGCCUUCGGGUUGUAAAGCCCUUUUGUUGGGAAAGAAAUCCAGCUGGCUAAUACCCGGUUGGGAUGACGGUACCCAAAGAAUAAGCACCGGCUAACUUCGUGCCAGCCGCCGCGGUAA